GAUUCUGGCUCAGGAUGUUUAACGCUAGCUACAGGCUUAACACAUGCAAGUCGAGGGGCAGCAUGGUCUUAGCUUGCUAAGGCCGAUGGCGACCGGCGCUACGGGUGAGUAACGCGUAUCCAACCUGCCUUACACUCUUGGACAGCCUUCUGAAAGGGAGAUUAAUACAAGAUGUUAUCAUGAGUAAGCAUUUUCGCAUGAUUAAAGGUUUACCGGUGUAAGAUGGGGAUGCGUUCCA
RNAcentral lists this ribosomal RNA (238 nucleotides) under uncultured bacterium. RNAcentral's name for it is "partial 16S ribosomal RNA". It matches the Rfam family "Bacterial small subunit ribosomal RNA", at positions 15 to 240 of the family's 1533-position model. The record is from RNAcentral.